GCGGAUAUGGUAGAAAGGUAAAAUUUAUCCUUGCCAAGGAGAAGAUGAGGGUUCGAUUACCCGACAUCCGCC
Molecule: transfer RNA, 72 nt
Filed under: Buddleja rufescens
Lineage: Eukaryota; Viridiplantae; Streptophyta; Magnoliopsida; Lamiales; Scrophulariaceae
Description: tRNA-Gly
Source: RNAcentral